RNAcentral lists this ribosomal RNA (450 nucleotides) under uncultured bacterium. RNAcentral's name for it is "partial 16S ribosomal RNA". It matches the Rfam family "Bacterial small subunit ribosomal RNA", at positions 354 to 796 of the family's 1533-position model. The record is from RNAcentral.
GUGGGGAAUCUUCCACAAUGGACGAAAGUCUGAUGGAGCAACGCCGCGUGAGUGAAGAAGGGUUUCGGCUCGUAAAGCUCUGUUGUCGGGGACGAAUGUGCAGUAUUUGAAUAAAGUAGUGCAAUGACGGUACCUGAUGAGGAAGCCACGGCUAACUACGUGCCAGCAGCCGCGGUAAUACGUAGGUGGCAAGCGUUGUCCGGAAUUAUUGGGCGUAAAGGGAGCGCAGGCGGGAAGGUAAGUCGGUCUUAAAAGUGCGGGGCUCAACCCCGUGAUGGGAUCGAAACUAUCUUUCUUGAGUGCAGGAGAGGAAAGUGGAAUUCCUAGUGUAGCGGUGAAAUGCGUAGAUAUUAGGAGGAACACCAGUGGCGAAGGCGACUUUCUGGACUGUAACUGACGCUGAGGCUCGAAAGUCAGGGGAGCGAACGGGAUUAGAUACCCGGGUAGUCC